UAGGGAAUCUUCCACAAUGGACGCAAGUCUGAUGGAGCAACGCCGCGUGAGUGAAGAAGGUUUUCGGACCGUAAAGCUCUGUUGUUGGUGAAGAAGGAUAGAGGUAGUAACUGGCCUUUAUUUGACGGUAAUCAACCAGAAAGUCACGGCUAACUACGUGCCAGCAGCCGCGGUAAUACGUAGGUGGCAAGCGUUGUCCGGAUUUAUUGGGCGUAAAGCGAGCGCAGGCGGAAGAAUAAGUCUGAUGUGAAAGCCCUCGGCUUAACCGAGGAAUUGCAUCGGAAACUGUUUUCUUGAGUGCAGAAGAGGAGAGUAGAACUCCAUGUGUAGCGGUGGAAUGCGUAGAUAUAUGGAAGAAUACCAGUGGCGAAGGCGGCUCUCUGGUCUGCAACUGACGCUGAGGCUCGAAAGCAUGGUAGCGAACAGGAUUAGAUACCCUGGUAGUCCAUGCCGUAAACGAUGAGUGCUAAGUGUUGGGAGGCUUCCGCCUGCUCAGUGCUGCAGCUAACGCAUUAAGCACUCCGCCUGGGGGAGUACGACCGCAAGGUUGAAAC
RNAcentral lists this ribosomal RNA (554 nucleotides) under uncultured bacterium. RNAcentral's name for it is "partial 16S ribosomal RNA". It matches the Rfam family "Bacterial small subunit ribosomal RNA", at positions 355 to 900 of the family's 1533-position model. The record is from RNAcentral.